RNAcentral lists this ribosomal RNA (253 nucleotides) under uncultured bacterium. RNAcentral describes it as "partial 16S ribosomal RNA". It matches the Rfam family "Bacterial small subunit ribosomal RNA", at positions 524 to 776 of the family's 1533-position model. The record is from RNAcentral.
UACGAACCGUCCAAACGUUACUCGGAAUCACUGGGCUUAAAGGGUGCGUAGGCCGCGCGGAGGGUGGGAUGUGAAAUCCCCCGGCUCAACCGGGGAAUAGCGUCCCAAACCGCCGUGCUCGAGGGAGACAGAGGUGAGCGGAACUGAUGGUGGAGCGGUGAAAUGCGUAGAUAUCUGGAGGAACACCGGUGGCGAAGGCGGCAUUCUGGACCGACAUUGACGCUGAGGCGCGAAAGCCAGGGGAGCAAACGGG